This 184-nucleotide ribosomal RNA is filed under the name Veillonella magna. RNAcentral's name for it is "partial 16S ribosomal RNA". It matches the Rfam family "Bacterial small subunit ribosomal RNA", at positions 1 to 178 of the family's 1533-position model. The record is from RNAcentral. Lineage: Bacteria; Bacillati; Bacillota; Negativicutes; Veillonellales; Veillonellaceae.
UCUUGGAGAGUUUGAUCCUGGCUCAGGACGAACGCUGGCGGCGUGCUUAACACAUGCAAGUCGAACGGAGAGACGUGGAAGCUUGCUUCUAUGAAUCUUAGUGGCGAACGGGUGAGUAACGCGUAAUCAACCUGCCCUUCAGAGGGGGAUAACAACGGGAAACCGUUGCUAAUACCGCGUACGA